ACUCCUACGGGAGGCAGCAGUGGGGAAUAUUGCACAAUGGGCGCAAGCCUGAUGCAGCCAUGCCGCGUGUAUGAAGAAGGCCUUCGGGUUGUAAAGUACUUUCAGCAGUGAGGAAGGUGGAGUCGUUAAUAGCGGCCUCAUUUGACGUUAGCUGCAGAAGAAGCACCGGCUAACUCCGUGCCAGCAGCCGCGGUAAUACGGAGGGUGCGAGCGUUAAUCGGAAUUACUGGGCGUAAAGCGCGCGUAGGCGGCUUGAUAAGCCGGUUGUGAAAGCCCCGGGCUCAACCUGGGAACGGCAUCCGGAACUGUCAGGCUAGAGUGCAGGAGAGGAAGGUAGAAUUCCCGGUGUAGCGGUGAAAUGCGUAGAGAUCGGGAGGAAUACCAGUGGCGAAGGCGGCCUUCUGGACUGACACUGACGCUGAGGUGCGAAAGCGUGGGUAGCAAACAGGAUUAGAUACCCUGGUAGGCUCUG
Molecule: ribosomal RNA, 472 nt
Filed under: uncultured bacterium
Lineage: Bacteria
Description: bacterial SSU rRNA
Rfam family: Bacterial small subunit ribosomal RNA
Source: RNAcentral